UUGUAAACGUUCAAGUCGAUUAUGUCUUACAUAUGGUGGUAGUCGAUUAUUUGGAGUCGCCUUUCUGCUGCCGAAAACUACCGGUUGGUGAAUUUUCAUACACGUUUUUAGAACAGCGUUUUUGCAAAUAUAAAAGUGACCACCUUACAUACAAUACAUAAACAGUUAGACUUCACAGACGAGCAAGUGCAGCGGAAGAUGUGUGUUGAAGAGCUGGUUUUUAGAAACGAAGGCAAGUAUGCGCGUAUUUCUACCAU
Molecule: long non-coding RNA, 257 nt
Organism: Anastrepha ludens (Mexican fruit fly)
Lineage: Eukaryota; Metazoa; Arthropoda; Insecta; Diptera; Tephritidae
Exons: 4
Source: RefSeq, a predicted model, not a curated record